GUCUCCACAGUGUAGUGGUUAGCACGUCUGCUUUACAUGCAGAAGGUCCUGGGUUCGUACCUGAGGUGGAGCCA
Molecule: transfer RNA, 74 nt
Filed under: Pteropus alecto (black flying fox)
Lineage: Eukaryota; Metazoa; Chordata; Mammalia; Chiroptera; Pteropodidae
Rfam family: tRNA
About the family: Transfer RNA (tRNA) molecules are approximately 80 nucleotides in length. Their secondary structure includes four short double-helical elements and three loops (D, anti-codon, and T loops).
Source: Rfam by way of RNAcentral